UCUCCGUUGGUGAACCAGCGGAGGGACCAUUACAGAGUUAUUCUACUCCCAAACCCCUGUAAACUUAAACCUUUACUGUUGCUUCGGCGGGUUAACGCCCCGGAAGGCCGGCGAGGGCCCCCGGAACCAGGCGUCCGCCGGGGGACCCAAACUCUUGAAACUUUUUUAUAGCAUGUCUGCGUAGAAUCAUAAACAAAUGAAUCAAAACUUUCAACAACGGAUCUCUUGGUUCUG
This 234-nucleotide unclassified non-coding RNA is filed under the name plant metagenome. RNAcentral describes it as "partial contains small subunit ribosomal RNA, internal transcribed spacer 1, and 5.8S ribosomal RNA". The record is from RNAcentral.